RNAcentral lists this long non-coding RNA (2410 nucleotides) under Mus musculus (house mouse). RNAcentral describes it as "long non-coding RNA chr5:67427993-67430403". Lineage: Eukaryota; Metazoa; Chordata; Mammalia; Rodentia; Muridae. The record is from RNAcentral.
GGUGGAAGAGGUGGCGUCCCGGCUCUCUCGGCUGUGGACGUGAGGCGGCAGCGGUUGUCCGCAGGGUCCGAGCUUUGGAAAGGAGUUCCCGGCGCCCUCCUGCGUGACCUCCCAACUCUCGGAGUGCACGAAGGGGGUGGUACCUAGAAGUUAGGGCGGGGUCGCCAGAGUGCAAGGGUGGGACAGCAAGUUCUUCUAGAAGGAAGCUACACCUCCCUCCCCCCGCCCCCCUCCCGAAAAAGAACAUCUCGAAGGACUUGGCACAGGCCGCUGGGAGGUUUGUCCUGCCUUAGGGUCUUGCUGUCCCAGGUCUGGCGGCCGAACCAGAAAGCACUCAGGGCCUAGUGCUUCCAUACUGUUUCGCUUGUUCUCCAUAGGGAGCUGGGCGAGAGAGCACAGAGGCGCCAUCAUUUCUUUCCAUUCUACAGAUUUGAAAACUGAGGCUCUGAAAGACCAGAUUUGAAAACUGAGGCUCUGAAAGACUAAAGGGAAAUAUGCAAAUUCACGCAGAGGAGUUUGUGAGUGAAUUGCACGGUUACAUAUAGGUCUUCAGAAUGUAAAAUAGCUGGUAGACAGUGCAAUUCAAGGGAACAAAAUGAUCCCACGGUUCCCUUUGGGAUGGUGACUGCUUUGAACAUUAUUAUAUUAUCUAUGCAUAUACGUUGCAAGACCAAAGUGGCCUGGGAUCACCCUUUCCUUGCGUUGCUCAUACUACCCGGCACCACCGGGCUAAGGAUUCAGUGAUGAAGAUCUCAGUAAUUUGCCGAAGCUGCCCCGUAAGGUUCUUCAAACACAAGGAAGGGUUCCGGCCUCUGCCAGUCACUCCUUCCUGUCUCAAAGGGAGCAUCCUCUAGUUAGGCCUACCCCAAUCCCUGCAUCCCCUCUUCCCAAGCUUGGGUUUCAACCUCGUUCAUCAUUAUCCAGGUCCUUGAUGAAUGAAGCUCAUCUCUCCAAUCUGGAGUUGCUUUUUUAUUCAGAGCUAUCCUUCAGUCUUGGGAAAGUGACCCAUUUUCUCCUGGGGGCCAGGACUUUGGCCUCUCAUUUUCCAGAUCUCUCCCAUUGGAAGAGUUCCUCUCCCUUGCUGUUUCCAGAGUCUCUGCUCACCCACUCUGGACUGUCUUCCUCUCCUCAGCAAGCUCCUCUGAUAGUGCUGUGCCCCUCCCCCAUUUAUUAGAGAUGAAAUAAAUAAUGCCAUAAAUAAAAGUAUUUGGGAGUCCAGGAACUGUCAGGGCUGAUUAGGGCAUAGAGGACAUUUUCUUUCUCAUUAUGCAAAAGCAUUUCAUGGGGAAAUAAAAGAGGUUUCAUUGUAACUCAUGCAUGUCAUAUUUCAAGGAAUUCACGAUAUUAAUCAUAUUUAACAUUAUUUGCAGCGUUUCUUCUCCCUGGCUUCUGAAAACUGCUAAAUGAGGACACGUGGAUCACUGGGAAGAAAGGGCGGGCGAUGAGCAAGUGAGGGACAGUUAAGAAAUAAUGAAACGCUGGUGAAAGACAGAGAGAAUGAGAUGCCGGGGAGAUGUUUCUUAGGCACCGAAGGGAGAGGUGGGGGAGAGGCUCCCGAGCCGGGAGACAGCUGAAACUGAAUGAUAUACGGAGGAGAUAAAUGGUAACAACCCUCCCCUCACUUUCCUGUCUAGAGAGCAGUUCUGAAUUUUGCAUCGAAAUCUUUCCCUCCCACAUUUACUCCCUGAUAAUUUGCCAGUAACUCCCUGCUUUGGAAAAGAAAUUAGGGUGGUCAUGGUGGUGGUCAUGGGGCUGAGCAGAAGAAAACCUUCAGUCCUUUGGUAAGAAAAUGAUUUCCUGUAUCUGGGGCAGAGCUUUCUCUUAGAUUUAUUAAUUUUAUUUGUAUGAGUGUGUUGCCUGCAUGUGUAUAUAUGCACUGCAUGGAUACCUGGUGCUGGAGGAUCUGGAACUGGUAGCACAGUUGUGAGCCACCAUGUGGGUGCUGGGAAUUGAACCCAAGGCCUCUGGUUCAACAAGUGUGGCCACCUCUUUAGCCCUUAUGUACAUAUUUUAAAUUUAUGUUAACCUUGCCACUCAAACACCUUGAGAGACCGGGAACGAUACUUUCUUCAUGUUUUACUGACUAAAGGAACCACCUCUAUUUUAUAUCCCCAAAUAGCCAUUUCUACAAAAGUGAAUAUUCUAAUGAAUGGUUGCGGUAAUUGGGUUGGAAGCGUAGUCCCCAGUGCAACAGGAUUGGGAGAUGGGGCCCAAGAGUAGACAUUUAGUACAUACAGGCUGUGUCCCCAAGCUUGGAUCAAUGCCUGUUACAAAAGAGCUUGAGAUUGUGAGUGAAUUCUUGGGUGCUCGUGUGGGUGAUGCCUCUGCCACUGUAUGGUGCGUACUACAAGAAGGUUCUAACCGGAUGCUGCUGCCCAGCAACCCUGGAUGUCUCAGCCUUCGGAAUUGC